CCUACGGGAGGCUGCAGUGAGGAAUAUUGGUCAAUGGACGAGAGUCUGAACCAGCCAAGCCGCGUGAAGGAUGAAUGCCCUAUGGGUUGUAAACUUCUUUUAUAUGGGAACAAAACAGGGUAUGCAUACCCUCUUGUAUGUACCAUAUGAAUAAGGAUCGGCUAACUCCGUGCCAGCAGCCGCGGUAAUACGGAGGAUCCGAGCGUUAUCCGGAUUUAUUGGGUUUAAAGGGUGCGUAGGUGGAUUUUUAAGUCAGUUGUGAAAGUUUGGGGCUCAACCGUAAGAUUGCAGUUGAAACUGGCAGUCUUGAGUACAGGAGAGGUGUGCGGAAUGCGUGGUGUAGCGGUGAAAUGCUUAGAUAUCGCGAAGAACUCCGAUUGCGAAGGCAGCUCACUGGACUGCAACUGACGCUGAUGCUCGAAAGUGUGGGUAUCAAACAGGAUUAGAUACCCGAGUAGUC
This 460-nucleotide ribosomal RNA is filed under the name uncultured bacterium. RNAcentral's name for it is "partial 16S ribosomal RNA". It matches the Rfam family "Bacterial small subunit ribosomal RNA", at positions 338 to 795 of the family's 1533-position model. The record is from RNAcentral.